Molecule: non-coding RNA, 394 nt
Filed under: Drosophila sechellia
Lineage: Eukaryota; Metazoa; Arthropoda; Insecta; Diptera; Drosophilidae
Description: Eukaryotic large subunit ribosomal RNA
Rfam family: Eukaryotic large subunit ribosomal RNA
Source: Rfam by way of RNAcentral
CAACCUCAACUCAUAUGGGACUACCCCCUGAAUUUAAGAAUAUUAAUUAGGGGAGGAAAAGAAACUAACAAGGAUUUUCUUAGUAGCGGCGAGCGAAAAGAAAACAGUUCAGCACUAAGUCACUUUGUCUAUAUGGCAAAUGUGAGAUGCAGUGUAUGGAGCGUCAAUAUUCUAGUAUGAGAAAUUAAUGAUUUAAGUCCUUCUUAAAUGAGGCCAUUUACCCAUAGAGGGUGCCAGACCCGUAUAACGUUAAUGAUUGCUAGAUGAUGUUUUCAAAGAGUCGUGUUGCUUGAUAGUGCACCCUCAAGUGGGUGGUAAACUCCAUUUAAAACUAAAUAUAACCAUGAGACCGAUAGUAAACAAGUACCGUGAGGGAAAGUUGAAAAGAACUCUG